This 398-nucleotide unclassified non-coding RNA is filed under the name fungal sp. RNAcentral describes it as "partial internal transcribed spacer region". The stretch from base 1 to 46 matches the Rfam family "Eukaryotic small subunit ribosomal RNA", at positions 1786 to 1831 of the family's 1831-position model. The record is from RNAcentral. Lineage: Eukaryota; Fungi.
AAGUCGUAACAAGGUUUCCGUAGGUGAACCUGCGGAAGGAUCAUUAACACGUAUCCAAACGUUAAACCCCCCUGUGAACCUUCACCUGUACUCGUACGUCCGUUAGAAAAAGCAGCAAUCCCUGGUAAAUCAUCGCCGAACAGUUUUCGAUUCAGGGAUGUCUGCAAGGAGCGUGCAUGUUGUGCGAGCAAGUGGCCUGGCAUCCCCAAGCAGUUAGUGUCUGAAAGUGUCAUUAACUGUGUAAGGAUGACGCAGUCACGAUCGUUGGAGGACCACACGGCCGACGACCGGGUCACUGGGCGCAAGCCCCCCUAUAACAAACGCUGCUAAUCGCGGCCGCGAUAAUACGCAGUCGACCAAAAACCGAACAACUGUUAACAAUGGAUAUCUUGGUUCUC